CAGCAGCCGCGGUAAUUCCAGCUCCAAUAGCGUAUAUUAAAGUUGUUGCAGUUAAAAAGCUCGUAGUUGAAUUUCGGGGUUAGUAGGUUGGUCAUGCCUCUGGUAUGUACUGGUCUCACUGAUUCCUCCUUCCUGAUGAGCCGUAAUGCCAUUAAUUUGGUGUUGCGGGGAAUUUGGACUGUUACUUUGAAAAAAUUAGAGUGUUUAAAGCAAGCUAACGCUUGAAUACAUUAGCAUGGAAUAAUGAAAUAGGACGUUCGAUCCUAUUUUGUUGGUUUCUAGGAUUGACGUAAUGAUUAAUAGGGAUAGUUGGGGGCAUUAGUAUUCAAUUGUCAGAGGUGAAAUUCUUGGAUUUAUUGAAGACUAACUACUGCGAAAGCAUUUGCCAAGGAUGUUUUCAUUAAUCAAGAACGAAAGUUAGGGGAUCGAAGACGAUCAGAUACCGUCGUAGUCUUAACCAUAAACUAUGCCGACUAGGGAUCGGAUGAUGUUAAUUUUUUAAUGACUCAUUCGGCGCCUUACG
RNAcentral lists this ribosomal RNA (523 nucleotides) under uncultured Glomus. RNAcentral's name for it is "SSU rRNA". It matches the Rfam family "Eukaryotic small subunit ribosomal RNA", at positions 568 to 1092 of the family's 1831-position model. The record is from RNAcentral. Lineage: Eukaryota; Fungi; Glomeromycota; Glomeromycetes; Glomerales; Glomeraceae.